RNAcentral lists this ribosomal RNA (800 nucleotides) under uncultured Pseudomonas sp. RNAcentral's name for it is "bacterial SSU rRNA". It matches the Rfam family "Bacterial small subunit ribosomal RNA", at positions 9 to 803 of the family's 1533-position model. The record is from RNAcentral. Lineage: Bacteria; Pseudomonadati; Pseudomonadota; Gammaproteobacteria; Pseudomonadales; Pseudomonadaceae.
GAGUUUGAUCCUGGCUCAGAUUGAAGGAGGCGGCAGGCCUAACACAUGCAAGUCGAGCGGCAGCACGGGUACUUGUACCUGGUGGCGAGCGGCGGACGGGUGAGUAAUGCCUAGGAAUCUGCCUGGUAGUGGGGGAUAACGCUCGGAAACGGACGCUAAUACCGCAUACGUCCUACGGGAGAAAGCAGGGGACCUUCGGGCCUUGCGCUAUCAGAUGAGCCUAGGUCGGAUUAGCUAGUUGGUGAGGUAAUGGCUCACCAAGGCGACGAUCCGUAACUGGUCUGAGAGGAUGAUCAGUCACACUGGAACUGAGACACGGUCCAGACUCCUACGGGAGGCAGCAGUGGGGAAUAUUGGACAAUGGGCGAAAGCCUGAUCCAGCCAUGCCGCGUGUGUGAAGAAGGUCUUCGGAUUGUAAAGCACUUUAAGUUGGGAGGAAGGGCGGUUACCUAAUACGUAAUUGUUUUGACGUUACCGACAGAAUAAGCACCGGCUAACUCUGUGCCAGCAGCCGCGGUAAUACAGAGGGUGCAAGCGUUAAUCGGAAUUACUGGGCGUAAAGCGCGCGUAGGUGGUUCGUUAAGUUGGAUGUGAAAUCCCCGGGCUCAACCUGGGAACUGCAUUCAAAACUGACGAGCUAGAGUAUGGUAGAGGGUGGUGGAAUUUCCUGUGUAGCGGUGAAAUGCGUAGAUAUAGGAAGGAACACCAGUGGCGAAGGCGACCACCUGGACUGAUACUGACACUGAGGUGCGAAAGCGUGGGGAGCAAACAGGAUUAGAUACCCUGGUAGUCCACGCCGU